RNAcentral lists this ribosomal RNA (593 nucleotides) under uncultured fungus. RNAcentral's name for it is "eukaryotic LSU rRNA". It matches the Rfam family "Eukaryotic large subunit ribosomal RNA", at positions 23 to 641 of the family's 3401-position model. Lineage: Eukaryota; Fungi. The record is from RNAcentral.
ACCCGCUGAACUUAAGCGCGGAGGAAAAGAAACCAACAGGGAUUGCCCUAGUAACGGCGAGUGAAGCGGCAACAGCUCAAAUUUGAAAUCUGGCCCCUUUCGGGGGUCCGAGUUGUAAUUUGCAGAGGGUGCUUUGGCGUCGGCAGCGGUCUAAGUUCCUUGGAACAGGACGUCGCAGAGGGUGAGAAUCCCGUACGUGGCCGCCUGCCUUGGCCGUGUAAAGCCCCUUCGACGAGUCGAGUUGUUUGGGAAUGCAGCUCUAAUUGGGAGGUAAAUUUCUUCUAAAGCUAAAUACGGGCCAGAGACCGAUAGCGCACAAGUAGAGUGAUCGAAAGAUGAAAAGCACUUUGGAAAGAGAGUCAAAAAGCACGUGAAAUUGUUGAAAGGGAAGCGCUUGCAGCCAGACUUGCCCGCCGUCGCUCACCCGGCCUCGGCCGGGGCACUCUUCGGCGGGCAGGCCAGCAUCGGUUCGGGCGGUCGGACAAUGGCCUCUGUCAUGUACCACCCCUCGGGGUGGCCUUAUAGGGGAGGCGUGACGCGACCAGCCCGGAUCGAGGACCGCGCUUCGGCUAGGAUGCUGGCGUAAUGGCUGU